This 344-nucleotide ribosomal RNA is filed under the name uncultured bacterium. Its description in RNAcentral is "bacterial SSU rRNA". It matches the Rfam family "Bacterial small subunit ribosomal RNA", at positions 22 to 356 of the family's 1533-position model. The record is from RNAcentral.
GCUCAGGAUGAACGCUGGCGGCGUGCCUAAUACAUGCAAGUAGAACGCUGAAGACUUUAGCUUGCUAAAGUUGGAAGAGUUGCGAACGGGUGAGUAACGCGUAGGUAACCUGCCUACUAGCGGGGGAUAACUAUUGGAAACGAUAGCUAGUACCGCAUAACAGCAUUUAACCCAUGUUAGAUGCUUGAAAGGAGCAAUUGCUUCACUAGUAGAUGGACCUGCGUUGUAUUAGCUAGUUGGUGAGGUAACGGCUCACCAAGGCGACGAUACAUAGCCGACCUGAGAGGGUGAUCGGCCACACUGGGACUGAGACACGGCCCAGACUCCUACGGGAGGCAGCAGUA